This 869-nucleotide long non-coding RNA is filed under the name Olea europaea subsp. europaea. The record is from RNAcentral. Lineage: Eukaryota; Viridiplantae; Streptophyta; Magnoliopsida; Lamiales; Oleaceae.
GAAUAGUCUAGAAUAAAAAUCCCACCCGUCAAUUUCCAUGAUCAACGGCCCACGUCCAUCCUUCCAAUAAGAAUCGAAAAAUUGAGAGCACUAGAAACCAGGAGAGAAUUCUAGACCCCAGAAAUCCAAAGGCAAGAUCCUUUUACGCCUUCUAUUAGACUCAAUCUGCACCAUACAAGGAUUCCUAUAUAUACAUCUCUUACACCGUCACUGCACGAGCGUUCUCUUUCUCAAAUUCAUAGCUGUAAUUUUAGAUCUGUGUUGUAAUUUGGUAAUUGACCGGUGAAUUUGGUGAUUUUGUUAGUAAUUCAAGAUGUUUGGGAGGGCACCGAAGAAGAGUGAUAAUACUAAGUAUUAUGAGAUUCUUGGCGUGUCUAAGACGGCGUCGCCGGAUGAUUUGAAGAAGGCGUACAAGAAGGCUGCCAUCAAGAAUCAUCCAGAUAAGGGUGGAGAUCCUGAGAAGGUAUGUUUCGUCAUGUUUUAUCAUUUAUUUUUCGGUAUUAUUGGAUAGUUUUUUAUUUCAAUUUGAUAUUUUCUGAUAAUUGAUGACAAUGUUACGUGCAUGUAGUAGAUUCUGCAAUUAUGUUGCAAGUAGUAGUAUUUUUUAAGUAGUCGUGAAAUUGAUAAUUCCUUCACUUCAUAGAAGGCGAAAUUUUAGAAAUUGAAUAUGGAAUCAAUUUAUGUUGGUGUUUUUUGGGAACCGUUUGUGUAAUUGAGUUGAAUGAUAGCCCUCGCAGAAUUGAAGGAAAAAAGGACGAGGGGGAAGUUCAGAAUUAAUUGAUGAAAACUGAAAGAGAGAAGGAUUGGAAGUAAUUUCAUUUGGCUUUGAUUUUAAAUAAUUGGCUUUAGAAUGUACUGUGGAGUUGAAA